AUUGGGCUAGUUUAAGUAAAAAUACUAACCUGUGGAGUUAGGGAAAAUAGGAUUACUAUUGUUCGAUC
Molecule: transfer RNA, 68 nt
Filed under: Dendropoma gregarium
Lineage: Eukaryota; Metazoa; Mollusca; Gastropoda; Littorinimorpha; Vermetidae
Description: tRNA-His
Source: RNAcentral